UACGAAGGGGGCUAGCGUUGCUCGGAAUCACUGGGCGUAAAGCGUACGUAGGCGGCUUUUUAAGUCAGGGGUGAAAUCCUGGAGCUCAACUCCAGAACUGCCUUUGAUACUGAGAAGCUUGAGUCCGGGAGAGGUGAGUGGAACUGCGAGUGUAGAGGUGAAAUUCGUAGAUAUUCGCAAGAACACCAGUGGCGAAGGCGGCUAACUGGCCCGGUACUGACGCUGAGGUGCAAAAGCGUGGGGAGCAAACAGG
RNAcentral lists this ribosomal RNA (253 nucleotides) under uncultured bacterium. RNAcentral's name for it is "partial 16S ribosomal RNA". It matches the Rfam family "Bacterial small subunit ribosomal RNA", at positions 524 to 776 of the family's 1533-position model. The record is from RNAcentral.